CCUACGGGCGGCAGCAGUAGGGAAUCUUCCACAAUGGGCGAAAGCCUGAUGGAGCAACGCCGCGUGGGUGAAGAAGGUCUUCGGAUCGUAAAACCCUGUUGUUAGAGAAGAAAGUGCGUGAGAGUAACUGUUCACGUUUCGACGGUAUCUAACCAGAAAGCCACGGCUAACUACGUGCCAGCAGCCGCGGUAAUACGUAGGUGGCAAGCGUUAUCCGGAUUUAUUGGGCGUAAAGGGAACGCAGGCGGUCUUUUAAGUCUGAUGUGAAAGCCUUCGGCUUAACCGGGGUAGUGCAUUGGAAACGGGUGGACUUAGGUGCAGAGGGGGAGGGUGAAACCCCAGUGU
RNAcentral lists this ribosomal RNA (345 nucleotides) under uncultured bacterium. RNAcentral's name for it is "partial 16S ribosomal RNA". It matches the Rfam family "Bacterial small subunit ribosomal RNA", at positions 338 to 676 of the family's 1533-position model. The record is from RNAcentral.